GACGAACGCUGGCGGCGUGCUUAACACAUGCAAGUCGAACGGAAAGGCCCUGCUUUUGUGGGGUGCUCGAGUGGCGAACGGGUGAGUAACACGUGAGUAACCUGCCCUUGACUUUGGGAUAACUUCAGGAAACUGGGGCUAAUACCGGAUAGGAGCUCCUGCUGCAUGGUGGGGGUUGGAAAGUUUCGGCGGUUGGGGAUGGACUCGCGGCUUAUCAGCUUGUUGGUGGGGUAGUGGCUUACCAAGGCUUUGACGGGUAGCCGGCCUGAGAGGGUGACCGGCCACAUUGGGACUGAGAUACGGCCCAGACUCCUACGGGAGGCAGCAGUGGGGAAUAUUGCACAAUGGGCGGAAGCCUGAUGCAGCAACGCCGCGUGCGGGAUGACGGCCUUCGGGUUGUAAACCGCUUUCGCCUGUGACGAAGCGUGAGUGACGGUAAUGGGUAAAGAAGCACCGGCUAACUACGUGCCAGCAGCCGCGGUGAUACGUAGGGUGCGAGCGUUGUCCGGGAUUUAUUGGGCGUAAAGGGCUCGUAGGUGGUUGAUCGCGUCGGAAGUGUAAUCUGGGGGCUUAACCCUGAGCGUGCUUUCGAUACGGGUUGACUUGAGGAAUGUAGGGGAGAAUGGAAUUCCUGGUGGAGCGGUGGAAUGCGCAGAUAUCAGGAGGAACACCAGUGGCGAAGGCGGUUCUCUGGGCCUUUCCUGACGCUGAGGAGCGAAAGCGUGGGGAGCGAACAGGCUUAGAUACUCUGGUAGUCCACGCUGUAAACGGUGGGUACUAGGUGUGGGGUCCAUUCCACGGGUUCCGUGCCGUAGCUAACGCUUUAAGUACCCCGCCUGGGGAGUACGGCCGCAAGGCUAAAACUCAAAGGAAUUGACGGGGCCCCGCACAAGCGGCGGAGCAUGCGGAUUAAUUCGAUGCAACGCGUAAAACCUUACCUGGGUUUGACAUGGAUCGGGAGUGCUCAGAGAUGGGUGUGCCUCUUUUGGGGUCGGUUCACAGGUGGUGCAUGGCUGUCAUCAGCUCGUGUCGUGAGAUGUUGGGUUAAGUCCCGCAACGAGCGCAACCCUUGUUCACUGUUGCCAGCACGUUAUGGUGGGGACUCAGUGGAGACCGCCGGGGUCAACUCGGAGGAAGGUGGGGAUGACGUCAAGUCAUCAUGCCCCUUAUGUCCAGGGCUUCACGCAUGCUACAAUGGCUGGUACAGAGAGUGGCGAGCCUGUGAGGGUGAGCGAAUCUCGGAAAGCCGGUCUCAGUUCGGAUUGGGGUCUGCAACUCGACCUCAUGAAGUCGGAGUCGCUAGUAAUCGCAGAUCAGCAACGCUGCGGUGAAUACGUUCCCGGG
This 1344-nucleotide ribosomal RNA is filed under the name uncultured bacterium. RNAcentral's name for it is "16S ribosomal RNA". It matches the Rfam family "Bacterial small subunit ribosomal RNA", at positions 28 to 1378 of the family's 1533-position model. The record is from RNAcentral.